Dalotia coriaria is the source of this 564-nucleotide long non-coding RNA. RefSeq lists it as uncharacterized. The transcript is spliced from 2 exons. The record is from RefSeq and is a predicted model, not a curated record. NCBI's taxonomy places the organism in Eukaryota, Metazoa, Arthropoda, Insecta, Coleoptera, Staphylinidae.
CAUAUUACUGAGCCAGCUCUAUUUUACAGAAUAAAAUGAAUAUCGCUUAAUAUUUGCGUUUCUAUGCAUGUUUACCUUCAAUAUAUUAUAAUAUAGAUGCUAGCUCGGAACCUCGGAACUUCUGCUUCCUUUUAAAGGUUCCUUUCAACAGAUUUAGUCGACUUUAAUAUUAAGAAUAGAUGUUUGUAACCUGAAAACGAAUAAAAUUGAGGAUGCAAAAUUAAAAUCACAGAAGUUUGUACAAGGAAUAAAAAAUCAGUACAGGUUUUCAAAAGGCCACACUAUAAUGGAAGCCACCUGGGAAGUGUGUGCAAAUGCUGAAAAGACGAAAAGCAGAACACAAACAUCGUGCACAUUGAAUGGAUCUCCUCGUUGAGGUCCAGUUUCUCCAGUACAACUAGUUUGGUGUAAUAAAUCAAAAUUAUAUUAAAAUGGCUUACCACAACUUAAUGUAUACGAAUAUUUAUAUAAAAGUUUAAAAAUACAUUGGUGUGAUUAAAAAACUUUAUAAACUAAUUGUAAAAAUCCUUAAUUUGACAUUAAAAAGUACGUUUGUAUAUGGAA